GGUCUGGCAAUUGGGGACAGAGCUGGGUGCCCAGGCCCGAACGCCCACGGCAGCACCAAGCCUGCACUCCUGGAGCACCCCAAGCUUUCCAACGCCAUGGCCAGGGCACUGCACCGGCACAUUAUGUUGGAGCGGGAGCGCAAGCGGCAGGAGGAAGCGGUCGACAAGAUGAAGGAACAGAAGAUGAAGGAAGAACAGCAGGGAAGGAAGAGAAAAGAGAUGGAAGAGAGAAUGGCACUAGAGGAGACCAAGGAACAAAGUCUGAAGUUGCAGGAGAAGCUUUUGGCCCUACAGGAAGAGAAGCACCAGCUUUUUCUGCAGCUCAAGAAAGUUUUACAUGAGGAAGAAAAAUGGAGGCGAAAGGAACAGAGUGACCUGACCACCCCAACAUCAGCUGCAUACCAGCAGAGCCUGAGUGUUCACACAGGAACUCAUAUCCUCAGCAAGCAGGGGAGCCCUGGAGGACACAAUCGCCGGGGCACCCUCAUGGCAGCUGACAGAGCUAAACAAAUGUUUGGACCCCAAGUGCAUAUGACCCAGCACUACGUGGGCUCAGCAGCUGCUUUUGCAGGGACACCAGAGCAUAGAAAAUUCCAAGGCAGCCCUGGUGGUGCCUAUGGGACUGCUUAGCCCCGACUUCACUAUGGGCCCACACAGCCAGCUUAUAGUCCUAGUCAGCUCCUCCGUGCUCCUUCAGCGUUCCCUGCUGUGCAGUACCUGUCUCAGCCACAGCCCUAAGCUGUGCACAGCCACUUUCAGCCUACUCAGACAGGUUUCCUCCAGCCUGGUAGUGCCCUGUCCUUGCAAAAGCAGAUGGAACAUGCUAACCAUCAGACUGGCUUCUCCGACUCAUCCUCUCUGCUCCCCAUUCACAGGCUCUGCAUCCAGCCCCUGAGCUCCUUGCUUCCACCCAACUCCCUGUGCAUAUGCAACCAGCUGGAAAGUCAGGCUUUGCAGCUACCAGCCAACCUGGCCCUCUGCCCGCUUCAUCCAACACAGCUAGAACCCAUGAUUCAACCACAAGUGA
RNA transcript from Sapajus apella (tufted capuchin), 1027 nucleotides. It is a transcript of the gene named G protein pathway suppressor 2 pseudogene, with no coding region annotated. The record is from RefSeq and is a predicted model, not a curated record. The transcript has a single exon. Lineage: Eukaryota; Metazoa; Chordata; Mammalia; Primates; Cebidae.